GAUGAACGCUGGCGGCGUGCUUAACACAUGCAAGUCGAACGGGAAUUCUUUUAUUGAAACUUCGGUCGAUUUAAUUUAAUUCUAGUGGCGGACGGGUGAGUAACGCGUGGGUAACCUGCCUUAUACAGGGGGAUAACAGUCAGAAAUGGCUGCUAAUACCGCAUAAGCGCACAGAGCUGCAUGGCUCAGUGUGAAAAACUCCGGUGGUAUAAGAUGGACCCGCGUUGGAUUAGCUUGUUGGCAGGGUAACGGCCUACCAAGGCGACGAUCCAUAGCCGGCCUGAGAGAGUGAACGGCCACAUUGGGACUGAGACACGGCCCAGACUCCUACGGGAAGCAGCAGUGGGGAAUAUUGCACAAUGGGGGAAACCCUGAUGCAGCGACGCCGCGUGAAGGAAGAAGUAUCUCGGUAUGUAAACUUCUAUCAGCAGGGAAGAUAGUGACGGUACCUGACUAAGAAGCCCCGGCUAACUACGUG
RNAcentral lists this ribosomal RNA (478 nucleotides) under uncultured bacterium. Its description in RNAcentral is "partial 16S ribosomal RNA". It matches the Rfam family "Bacterial small subunit ribosomal RNA", at positions 28 to 507 of the family's 1533-position model. The record is from RNAcentral.